CCCUUAGAUGUUCUGGGCCGCACGCGCGCUACACUGAUGCAUUCAACGAGCCUAUCCUUGACCGACAGGUCCGGGUAAUCUUUGAAUCUGCAUCGUGACGGGGAUAGAUUAUUGCAAUUAUCAAUCUUCAACGAGGAAUGCCUAGUAGGCGCAAGUCAUCAGCUUGCGUCGAUUACGUCCCUGCCCUUUGUACACACCGCCCGUCGCUCCUACCGAUUGGGUGUGCUGGUGAAAUGUUCGGAUCGGCCGUUUGUCGCGGUUUCCGCGGCUCGUGGCUGAGAAGUUCAUUAAACCCUCCCACCUAGAGGAAGGAGAAGUCGUAACA
RNAcentral lists this ribosomal RNA (325 nucleotides) under uncultured eukaryote. RNAcentral describes it as "partial 18S ribosomal RNA". It matches the Rfam family "Eukaryotic small subunit ribosomal RNA", at positions 1470 to 1796 of the family's 1831-position model. The record is from RNAcentral.